AAUCCAUAGGUUAAUGAGGCGAACCGGGGGAACUGAAACAUCUAAGUACCCCGAGGAAAAGAAAUCAACCGAGAUUCCCCCAGUAGCGGCGAGCGAACGGGGAGGAGCCCAGAGCCUGAAUCAGCAUGUGUGUUAGUGGAAGCGUCUGGAAAGGCGCGCGAUACAGGGUGACAGCCCCGUACACAAAAGCGCAUGUGCUGUGAGCUCGAUGAGUAGGGCGGGACACGUGGUAUCCUGUCUGAAUAUGGGGGGACCAUCCUCCAAGGCUAAAUACUCCUGACUGACCGAUAGUGAACCAGUACCGUGAGGGAAAGGCGAAAAGAACCCCGGCGAGGGGAGUGAAAAAGAACCUGAAACCGUGUACGUACAAGCAGUGGGAGCACAGGUUUACCUGUGUGACUGCGUACCUUUUGUAUAAUGGGUCAGCGACUUAUAUUCUGUAGCAAGGUUAACCGAAUAGGGGAGCCGGAGGGAAACCGAGUCUUAAUUGGGCGUUAAGUUGCAGGGUAUAGACCCGAAACCCGGUGAUCUAGCCAUGGGCAGGUUGAAGGUUGGGUAACACUAACUGGAGGACCGAACCGACUAAUGUUGAAAAAUUAGCGGAUGACCUGUGGCUGGGGGUGAAAGGCCAAUCAAACCGGGAGAUAGCUGGUUCUCCCCGAAAGCUAUUUAGGUAGCGCCUCGUGAAUUCAUCUCCGGGGGUAGAGCACUGUUUCGGCUAGGGGGCCAUCCCGGCUUACCAACCCGAUGCAAACUGCGAAUACCGGAGAAUGUUAUCACGGGAGACACACGGCGGGUGCUAACGUCCGUCGUGAAGAGGGAAACAACCCAGACCGCCAGCUAAGGUCCCAAAGUCAUGGUUAAGUGGGAAACGAUGUGGGAAGGCCCAGACAGCCAGGAUGUUGGCUUAGAAGCAGCCAUCAUUUAAAGAAAGCGUAAUAGCUCACUGGUCGAGUCGGCCUGCGCGGAAGAUGUAACGGGGCUAAACCAUGCACCGAAGCUGCGGCAGCGAC
RNAcentral lists this ribosomal RNA (1013 nucleotides) under Salmonella enterica. RNAcentral's name for it is "partial 23S ribosomal RNA". It matches the Rfam family "Bacterial large subunit ribosomal RNA", at positions 161 to 1212 of the family's 2925-position model. RNAcentral also lists the same sequence under 2 other names. Lineage: Bacteria; Pseudomonadati; Pseudomonadota; Gammaproteobacteria; Enterobacterales; Enterobacteriaceae. The record is from RNAcentral.